RNAcentral lists this ribosomal RNA (465 nucleotides) under uncultured bacterium. RNAcentral's name for it is "partial 16S ribosomal RNA". It matches the Rfam family "Bacterial small subunit ribosomal RNA", at positions 339 to 795 of the family's 1533-position model. The record is from RNAcentral.
CUACGGGAGGCACCAGUGGGGAAUAUUGGACAAUGGGCGGAAGCCUGAUCCAGCCAUGCCGCGUGUGUGAAGAAGGCCUUUUGGUUGUAAAGCACUUUAAGCGAGGAGGAGGCUCCUUUAGUUAAUACCUAAAGAGAGUGGACGUUACUCGCAGAAUAAGCACCGGCUAACUCUGUGCCAGCAGCCGCGGUAAUACAGAGGGUGCGAGCGUUAAUCGGAUUUACUGGGCGUAAAGCGUGCGUAGGCGGCUUUUUAAGUCGGAUGUGAAAUCCCUGAGCUUAACUUAGGAAUUGCAUUCGAUACUGGAAAGCUAGAGUAUGGGAGAGGAUGGUAGAAUUCCAGGUGUAGCGGUGAAAUGCGUAGAGAUCUGGAGGAAUACCGAUGGCGAAGGCAGCCAUCUGGCCUAAUACUGACGCUGAGGUACGAAAGCAUGGGGAGCAAACAGGAUUAGAUACCCCCGUAGUC